RNAcentral lists this ribosomal RNA (1498 nucleotides) under uncultured organism. Its description in RNAcentral is "16S ribosomal RNA". It matches the Rfam family "Bacterial small subunit ribosomal RNA". The record is from RNAcentral.
GGAUGAACGCCGGCGGUGUGCCUAAUACAUGCAAGUCGUACGCACUGGCCCAACUGAUUGAUGGUGCUUGCACCUGAUUGACGUUGGAUCACCAGUGAGUGGCGGACGGGUGAGUAACACGUAGGUAACCUGCCCCGGAGCGAGGGAUAACAUUUGGAAACAGAUGCUAAUACCGCAUAACAACAAAAGCCACAUGGCUUUUGUUUGAAAGAUGGCUUUAGCUAUCACUCUGGGAUGGACCUGCGGUGCAUUAGCUAGUUGGUAAGGUAACGGCUUACCAAGGCGAUGAUGCAUAGCCGAGUUGAGAGACUGAUCGGCCACAAUGGAACUGAGACACGGUCCAUACUCCUACGGGAGGCAGCAGUAGGGAAUCUUCCACAAUGGGCGCAAGCCUGAUGGAGCAACACCGCGUGAGUGAAGAAGGGUUUCGGCUCGUAAAGCUCUGUUGUUGGAGAAGAACGUGCGUGAGAGUAACUGUUCACGCAGUGACGGUAUCCAACCAGAAAGUCACGGCUAACUACGUGCCAGCAGCCGCGGUAAUACGUAGGUGGCAAGCGUUAUCCGGAUUUAUUGGGCGUAAAGCGAGCGCAGGCGGUUGCUUAGGUCUGAUGUGAAAGCCUUCGGCUUAACCGAAGAAGUGCAUCGGAAACCGGGCAACUUGAGUGCAGAAGAGGACAGUGGAACUCCAUGUGUAGCGGUGGAAUGCGUAGAUAUAUGGAAGAACACCAGUGGCGAAGGCGGCUGUCUGGUCUGCAACUGACGCUGAGGCUCGAAAGCAUGGGUAGCGAACAGGAUUAGAUACCCUGGUAGUCCAUGCCGUAAACGAUGAGUGCUAGGUGUUGGAGGGUUUCCGCCCUUCAGUGCCGGAGCUAACGCAUUAAGCACUCCGCCUGGGGAGUACGACCGCAAGGUUGAAACUCAAAGGAAUUGACGGGGGCCCGCACAAGCGGUGGAGCAUGUGGUUUAAUUCGAAGCUACGCGAAGAACCUUACCAGGUCUUGACAUCUUGCGCUAACCUUAGAGAUAAGGCGUUCCCUUCGGGGACGCAAUGACAGGUGGUGCAUGGUCGUCGUCAGCUCGUGUCGUGAGAUGUUGGGUUAAGUCCCGCAACGAGCGCAACCCUUGUUACUAGUUGCCAGCAUUAAGUUGGGCACUCUAGUGAGACUGCCGGUGACAAACCGGAGGAAGGUGGGGACGACGUCAGAUCAUCAUGCCCCUUAUGACCUGGGCUACACACGUGCUACAAUGGACGGUACAACGAGUCGCAAGCUCGCGAGAGUAAGCUAAUCUCUUAAAGCCGUUCUCAGUUCGGACUGUAGGCUGCAACUCGCCUACACGAAGUCGGAAUCGCUAGUAAUCGCGGAUCAGCAUGCCGCGGUGAAUACGUUCCCGGGCCUUGUACACACCGCCCGUCACACCAUGGGAGUUUGUAACGCCCAAAGUCGGUGGCCUAACCUUUAUGGAGGGAGCCGCCUAAGGCGGGACAGAUGACUGGGGU